Molecule: ribosomal RNA, 495 nt
Filed under: uncultured bacterium
Lineage: Bacteria
Description: partial 16S ribosomal RNA
Rfam family: Bacterial small subunit ribosomal RNA
Source: RNAcentral
GAUGAACGCUGGCGGCGUGCCUAAUACAUGCAAGUAGAACGCUGAAGGAGGAGCUUGCUCUUCUGGAUGAGUUGCGAACGGGUGAGUAACGCGUAGGUAACCUGCCUGGUAGCGGGGGAUAACUAUUGGAAACGAUAGCUAAUACCGCAUGACAACAGUUAUUGCAUGAUAACUGUUUAAAAGGGGCAACUGCUCCACUACCAGAUGGACCUGCGUUGUAUUAGCUAGUUGGUGAGGUAACGGCUCACCAAGGCGACGAUACAUAGCCGACCUGAGAGGGUGAUCGGCCACACUGGGACUGAGACACGGCCCAGACUCCUAUGGGAGGCAGCAGUAGGGAAUCUUCGGCAAUGGACGGAAGUCUGACCGAGCAACGCCGCGUGAGUGAAGAAGGUUUUCGGAUCGUAAAGCUCUGUUGUAAGAGAAGAACGAGUGUGAGAGUGGAAAGUUCACACUGUGACGGUAUCUUACCAGAAAGGGACGGCUAACUACGUG